UACAGAGGUCCCAAGCGUUGUUCGGAUUCACUGGGCGUAAAGGGUGCGCAGGUGGGUUGGCAAGUUUGACGUGAAAGCCCCGGGCUUAACCCGGGAAUGGCGUUGAAAACUGCUGAUCUGGAGGAUCGGAGGGGGGACUGGAAUUCUUGGUGUAGCAGUGAAAUGCGUAGAUAUCAAGAGGAACACCAGUGGCGAAGGCGAGUCCCUGGACGAUACCUGACACUGAGGCACGAAAGCCAAGGGAGCAAACAGG
This 253-nucleotide ribosomal RNA is filed under the name uncultured bacterium. RNAcentral describes it as "partial 16S ribosomal RNA". It matches the Rfam family "Bacterial small subunit ribosomal RNA", at positions 524 to 776 of the family's 1533-position model. The record is from RNAcentral.